GGAGAAAUGUCCGAGAGGUCGAAGGAGCUUGACUCGAAAUCAAGUGCACGUCAUUGAUGUGCCGCGGGUUCGAAUCCCGCUUUCUCCG
This 88-nucleotide transfer RNA is filed under the name Clostridium tepidiprofundi DSM 19306. It matches the Rfam family "tRNA". From Rfam's summary of the family: Transfer RNA (tRNA) molecules are approximately 80 nucleotides in length. Their secondary structure includes four short double-helical elements and three loops (D, anti-codon, and T loops). Lineage: Bacteria; Bacillati; Bacillota; Clostridia; Eubacteriales; Clostridiaceae. The record is from Rfam by way of RNAcentral.